UGGGGAAUAUUGCACAAUGGGCGCAAGCCUGAUGCAGCCAUGCCGCGUGUAUGAAGAAGGCCUUCGGGUUGUAAAGUACUUUCAGCGGGGAGGAAGGCGAUAAGGUUAAUAACCUUGUCGAUUGACGUUACCCGCAGAAGAAGCACCGGCUAACUCCGUGCCAGCAGCCGCGGUAAUACGGAGGGGGCAAGAGUUAAUCGGAAUUACUGGGCGUAAAGCGCACGCAGGCGGUCUGUCAAGUCGGAUGUGAAAUCCCCGGGCUCAACCUGGGAACUGCAUUCGAAACUGGCAGGCUAGAGUCUUGUAGAGGGGGGUAGAAUUCCAGGUGUAGCGGUGAAAUGCGUAGAGAUCUGGAGGAAUACCGGUGGCGAAGGCGGCCCCCUGGACAAAGACUGACGCUCAGGUGCGAAAGCGUGGGGAGCAAACA
RNAcentral lists this ribosomal RNA (427 nucleotides) under uncultured bacterium. RNAcentral's name for it is "partial 16S ribosomal RNA". It matches the Rfam family "Bacterial small subunit ribosomal RNA", at positions 355 to 774 of the family's 1533-position model. The record is from RNAcentral.